GGACAUUCAGUUCAAGGCGGAAUUUUGGACCAUCAUAGUGGUGGAGAAUUGGCCUAAAGGAGUCCUCUUCAAGUGGUUCACAGAUUUUCCUUGUAAUAACCUGAACCUGCAGAGGAACAAAAACAUUAGUACUGCUUUUUUCUUUUUGUUUGCUUGAAAGAUAUUGAAAGCAUCAUUUUCAGAAAAAAAAAAAAACAACCAUAUUGUUUUUCAUAACAAAUAAUUUAUUCCUUAACAAAUACCUGAGCAGGGAAUCGAGAUUCGCCAGGGCAUUUCUUGUCCUCCCAGGCUGUUGGAUCAAUGUUUGUUCCUCCAAAGCUAGCAGCCUAAAUAGAAGAUCAUUAAAACAUCGUCAGAAGCGCAGUGAAGAACAAAUCACAGGUAAGAAAGCGCCCCUUUUAACGGAACUAUAAAACUAUAAACCACCCUAAAGUGAAACUAAUGUUCUGUCCACAGUCAUAUUUACGUGUGCACUUGUAAAAUUCACAAGUUGUAGAAGUCCAUGGUUGUCCUUAAACGACUUAAAAAAAGUUAUGACUUUAUCAAAUCCUUGGAUUGGGUGGAAAUCGAACUAAUCAAAUGUUAACAGAUAAUCAGAAAGUAGUUAAAAAAGGGUAAUAGGAGAAAACAGAAAUACAAACCUCAAAUACUCCAUGGAGUUGGUGGGUGGAGUAGUUGUAGAGGAAAAGAGGCAGGCCAGGCGUUAUCGCCCUGACUGAAUCUCGGUAACGUGGAGGCAAACCUACAAAUAAUGCAUAACAACAAUUUAGGAAUAUAAAUCAACAUAAAUAUUACAUCAAAAAUUCCAUAAAAUUUUAACUUAACCAAAUUGUUUCAUUAAUCUAACUGAUUUACUUUCAAUUUCUAGAGCAGGGAUUAGUAUUGGCAUAAUCAUCUCCAAAAAAUAAUAGAAAAUCAAGAUUCAAAACCAAAUUAAACCCAGACUAUUUUUCUUUCCAAUAAAAAAAAUAGUAAGGAAGAGAAAGUGAGCGAAUGACAUACCGAAGAGCUGUCUCCUGAGAUUCUCCUGCAUGGUAUCGUUGUUGCAAACAAAGAUGUAACCGCCAACAGUUUCAUUCCUAGGCAAAGACUCAGAUGGUGGCAGUGUCUUAAACCUCUUGUCAACAACAUUCUUCCCAUCCUUAUUUUCAUUGUUAUUAUUGUCGCUGUUAUUGUUAUUGUUCUUCUUGUUACUAUUCUUCUUCCCACUUUUGCUUCCGUGAUCAUCCUCUCCUUUAUUCUUAUUCCCCUUCAAAUUAAAAUUAAAAUUAUUGUUAUUCGCUGGCUUUGAAUAAACCCCUUUGUUGAAUCCUCCGUUGAUUCCAACAUUCAUCUGAGACCCCAUCGGACCAAUUGGACCGAACCCGAUGUUGCUGUUGAUACUGGCUCCAAUUUUCCAUCCAUCAUUGUUGAAAGAAUUGAAAUCAGAGACCUUUGGCUUCAAGUUGUUAACAGAAUUCAAUUCACCACCGACUCUGAUAUCAAAAUUCCUCCUUUCAUCAGGCCUCUUUGUAACAAAAUUGUUGCUCCAUAUCGAAUCGUUGAGAGAAAGAUUAGCCAAGUUCGAAUUUUGGACCCUAAGUUGAUCACUGAAUUGCCAAA
RNAcentral lists this long non-coding RNA (1602 nucleotides) under Durio zibethinus. RNAcentral describes it as "long non-coding RNA (DZIB_LNC002079)". The record is from RNAcentral. Lineage: Eukaryota; Viridiplantae; Streptophyta; Magnoliopsida; Malvales; Malvaceae.